This 596-nucleotide ribosomal RNA is filed under the name Nostoc microscopicum NTLRM2. RNAcentral describes it as "bacterial SSU rRNA". It matches the Rfam family "Bacterial small subunit ribosomal RNA", at positions 160 to 788 of the family's 1533-position model. The record is from RNAcentral. Lineage: Bacteria; Bacillati; Cyanobacteriota; Cyanophyceae; Nostocales; Nostocaceae.
UGGCUAAUACCGGAUGAGCCGAAAGGUGAAAGGCUUGCUGCCUAGAGAUGAGCUCGCGUCUGAUUAGCUAGUUGGUGUGGUAAGAGCGCACCAAGGCGACGAUCAGUAGCUGGUCUGAGAGGAUGAUCAGCCACACUGGGACUGAGACACGGCCCAGACUCCUACGGGAGGCAGCAGUGGGGAAUUUUCCGCAAUGGGCGAAAGCCUGACGGAGCAAUACCGCGUGAGGGAGGAAGGCUCUUGGGUUGUAAACCUCUUUUCUCAAGGAAUAAGAAAGUGAAGGUACUUGAGGAAUAAGCAUCGGCUAACUCCGUGCCAGCAGCCGCGGUAAUACGGAGGAUGCAAGCGUUAUCCGGAAUGAUUGGGCGUAAAGGGUCCGCAGGUGGCACUGAAAGUCUGCUGUUAAAGAGUGAGGCUCAACCUCAUAAGAGCAGUGGAAACUACAGAGCUAGAGUGCGUUCGGGGUAGCAGGAAUUCCUGGUGUAGCGGUGAAAUGCGUAGAGAUCAGGAAGAACACCGGUGGCGAAAGCGUGCUACUAGGCCGUAACUGACACUGAGGGACGAAAGCUAGGGGAGCGAAUGGGAUUAGAUACCCC